GCUGCGAUAGUUUACUAAAAACAUUAGCCUGUGAAGCUAAAAACGGAACCACACCAUUAACCCCUUCCCCACAGC
RNAcentral lists this transfer RNA (75 nucleotides) under Bradypodion occidentale. RNAcentral's name for it is "tRNA-His". Lineage: Eukaryota; Metazoa; Chordata; Lepidosauria; Squamata; Chamaeleonidae. The record is from RNAcentral.